RNAcentral lists this ribosomal RNA (366 nucleotides) under uncultured organism. RNAcentral's name for it is "bacterial SSU rRNA". It matches the Rfam family "Bacterial small subunit ribosomal RNA", at positions 526 to 896 of the family's 1533-position model. The record is from RNAcentral.
CGAAGGAUGCAAGCGUUAUCCGGAUUCAUGGUUUAAAGGGUGCGUAGGCGGUCUUGUAAGUCAGUGGUGAAAUCUCGCAGCUUAACUGCGAAACUGCCAUUGAUACUGCAGGACUUGAGUACAGAUGCUGUGGGCGGAAUAUGACAUGUAGUGGUGAAAUACAUAGAGAUGUCAUAGAACACCGAUUGCGAAGGCAGCUCACAAAACUGUAACUGACGCUGAGGCACGAAAGUGCGGGGAUCAAACAGGAUUAGAUACCCUGGUAGUCCGCACUGUAAACGAUGAUUACUCGCUGCUGGGGGGCAACUUCCAGUGGCUGAGCGAAAGCGAUAAGUAAUCCACCUGGGGAGUACGCCGGCAACGGUG